RNAcentral lists this ribosomal RNA (174 nucleotides) under uncultured Caldilineaceae bacterium. RNAcentral describes it as "partial 16S ribosomal RNA". It matches the Rfam family "Bacterial small subunit ribosomal RNA", at positions 337 to 524 of the family's 1533-position model. Lineage: Bacteria; Bacillati; Chloroflexota; Caldilineae; Caldilineales; Caldilineaceae. The record is from RNAcentral.
UCCUACGGGAGGCAGCAGCCGAGAAUAUUCGACAAUGGGCGAAAGCCUGAUCGAGCGACGCCGCGUGCAGGAGGAAGUUCUUCGGGACGUAAACUGCUUUUAUAGGGGAGGAACGCAAGUGACUGUACCCUAUGAAUAAGGACUUGCUAAUCUCGUGCCAGCAGCCGCGGUAAU